GACAGAGGCCCCGAGCGUUAAUCGGAAUUACUGGGCUUAAAGGGUGCGUAGGCUGAUCCGCAAGUGCUCCGUGAAAUCCCCCGGCUCAACCGGGGAACAGCGAGGCAUACUGCGGAUCUUGAGGCAGGUAGGCGCCGAGGGAACAGUAGGUGGAGCGGUGAAAUGCGUAGAUAUCUACUGGAACGCCGAUGGUGAAGACGCUCGGCUGGGCCUGUCCUGACGCUGAGGCACGAAAGCGUGGGGAGCAUACAGG
This 253-nucleotide ribosomal RNA is filed under the name uncultured bacterium. Its description in RNAcentral is "partial 16S ribosomal RNA". It matches the Rfam family "Bacterial small subunit ribosomal RNA", at positions 524 to 776 of the family's 1533-position model. The record is from RNAcentral.